AAAGGCUCUUUUCAGAGCCACC
This 22-nucleotide non-coding RNA is filed under the name Xenopus tropicalis (tropical clawed frog). The record is from RNAcentral. Lineage: Eukaryota; Metazoa; Chordata; Amphibia; Anura; Pipidae. RNAcentral also lists the same sequence under 1 other name.